UCUACUGUUGCUAAGUAACCCAGUGGUAGUGGAGGAGGCUGCCGCCGCCGCCGCCGACGACGUCGCCGCCACCGCCACCUGAACUGUUUGAGAACGGAAACAAGUGAACUGAACGGAGAACUGUUCGGCUGCUGGACGAUGGACGAGGGCAGCGAGUUGUCGCUGAGCGUCGCUCACGUCGUGCAGCGGCUCAAGGGCAGCCACCUGCACUCGCAGAUAGAGAGACAAGCGAAAGAGUGUUUACAUCAGCCCGAGAUAAAGCUGGACUCUCUCAAAGAGGACGUCCGCAGUUUCCUCAAAACAGCAGGCUGGGAGAGGAAGCUGCAGAAUUCCGUGUACAGGGAGCUGCAUGUCCAGCCGCCCCCGAGCCACCCCGCCGCUCCUCCGGAGCAUCUCAAAGAGCCGCUGGCCUACAUGCGCAAGGCCCAGGCCAGCUGGGAGAAGCGUGUCCUCAAAAGCCUGAACAGCAUGAGCACCGAACUGGGAGUGCCCCUGGCCCGCAUGAGGCCCGCGGCAGAGCAGAAGGAGCUCACAAACAAAUGGAACGAGAUGGGUACAGACGAACCAGAUUUGAGCCGCUUCCGGCCCGUCUACGCCCCCAAAGACUUUCUGGAGGUGUUAGUCAGUCUGAGGAACCCCAACCACGACAGCAGUGAGGAUGUCAGCGCCAGGAGCCACUGGGGCCUCAUCCAGGUUCCCCUCAAUGUCAGAGACGUCCCACAGCUGAGACGGGCCUUCUGCGAGCUGAACCUGACCGCGGGGCAGUUGGGGAUUGACGACCACGCACACAUGCACCCAGACUUGUUUGAAAACGACUAUGUUCAGAUUGGGAAGAAAGUGGUCGUGGACCAGGACAGUGCGGCCGCGCAGCAGUACAGCAGGCAGGGCUGCCCCACCGGGCUCCGGGCAGACCUGUGGGCCCUCAUCCUGAACUCCACCAACCAGCCCCCGGAUGUGAUGCAUUAUGAACAGCUCAAGGCUGGAGUCAUACAACAUGACCUGCUGGUGGACAACCUUAUCUAUAAGGAUGUGAAGCUCACCGCCAGUAAUGAUGACUACUACUUUGUGUUUGAAGACUUCCUCUAUCAGGUGCUGCUGUGUUUCUCCCGGGAUGCCGCCGUGUUGGAGCACUUCAAAUACAACAGUGCCACUCCUCCCAAAUCCUACAUCCAGGGGAAAGUGGGAGAUGAGGAGUGCGCUGUUGUUUAUCCUCCCAACGGCAUAAUCCCUUUCCAUGGCUUCUCUAUGUAUGUGGCACCUUUGUGUUUCCUGUACAACGAGCCGUCCAAGCUGUACAGUGUAUUCAGGGAAAUGUACAUCCGCUUCUUCUUCAGAUUACACUCCAUCUCCUCCUCUCACUCGGGUAUCGUGUCGUUGUGCCUGCAGUUUGAGCGGCUGCUCCAGACCCACCUGCCUCAGCUCUUCUACCACCUCCGACAGAUCGGUGCACAGCCGUUGCGUAUUGCCUUUAAGUGGAUGGUGCGGGCCUUUUCUGGUUAUCUGUCCACGGACCAACUGCUCCUUCUCUGGGACCGUAUCCUGGGAUACGACUCGCUGGAGGUAGUCGCAGUCCUCGCAGCUGCUGUGUUCGCCUUCCGCGCCGAGAACCUGAUGGAGGUGACGUCACUUGCCUCGGCUGAGCCCCCUCUCUCUGCCGACCCCCCACCCCACAUUCUCCUCAAAGGCUGUAAAUAGCCAUUGAUGACCAGCCAGUUCCAGUAACCCAGUCUCCUGCAUGCGCGUCUGAAAAAACUAGACAGCUGUCCUCGCCGACCUUUCAACCCUGAAGGUCAUGCCGCUCAUCCAGAUCUUUCUCUUUGCCACCGCCAUCUGAGGAGCCUGGAGAGAGCACCGUGCGAGUCGUGGUACGCACAAGUACACUUUAUUGUCCGAGACAAUAAAGAUAAAUGCUACACUUUGCUUUGCCAUAACUACGCUAAUAUCAAGAAACACCAGACUCCACUGUUGGAAAUCAAAGAAUAACCAAGGAAAAACUACACUUUACAUUUCACACCGCAUCUCGUGGUGGUUCAAGCAAAAAAAGCCAAACCCCCUCUUUAGCUUGUAUGCAACCAAAAAUAGUGAAUACCCUGUAUCGUGUUAUUAGAUAUUAUACAGUUUGUAAGUAUAGCCUAUAAACCAUUACGGUUAAGCUAACCUCCAUAAGCCAUACGACCCUGCAGGAAAGUCGAGCUGAGCCGAGCUUGGAUGAGCCGAGGAGGAGCUCGUUAGGAGAGGAGGUGCACUAAGCGGUAGUUGUGUCACGAUAGCAGCGCGCGAGGGGAAAACAACAAUAACAUCUAUGAGCUCGGCUAAUGAAGUGUUAAUUAGCUCAUACAAUUUAUGCAGCUCUGCUCCUCCCUGUUGUUAUAACUACCAGAUAAAGCUGUUACCGAUGAAUGCGGAGAUUGGAUGCAAUUAGUCCACGCCAGCACGUUGGGAGAAAUAGUCAAAAGACAAAAACGGAAUUAAGAGCUCAGAUCAGCAGCUGCUGUGAAUACACAUUAUAUUGUAUUUAUGAAUGAAUCGAAUAUUGUCGCCAUCCUAAGGGGGCAUUUUGCACCUUCAGUGCCAUUAUUUAUUUUAUUUAAUCGUCACGAUUUUAUGAUUGUCUUUCAAUUUAUUUCAAAUCAUGAAUUUAAUGCCUGAAUGUAUUGACCUGUAUGUCCUAGUUUUUUUCAGAGACACUGUGCAUCGACUUUGCUUUAAAUGCAAUCAAUUUUUUUUUCUUAUCUAUUAACAGUAUCCUUUGCCAGUCAAUGCCAAUGUCUUCCAUCCAAACCAUUUUUAAUGUUUCAUGCAACCUGAAAUUACACUUUUAAAAUAAAAUAAAAUAACAUUUUGUUGAUCCCUUCCUCCACUUUAUUCUACCAAAACUUGACUGAGGCCUUGAAAUGUGUGACAGGUUUUUUCUUUUGUUGCCUCCAGUAGACGCUGCCUGAUCUUUCCUGCUCCACAACUAUACGUUUCUCUCGGUUUGUGUGACAGGGUAAAUAUUUGGACGGGGCGCACUGUACUUGAGUUCGCCAUAGGCAUUUUUAGUGAAGGCACAGUUGCUAAAUGACAGGUAGCAGCCUUUUUUCUUUUCUUUUUUUUUGCACUUGACCGUCUGUCCCCUUCCCACAGUCCUCCUCCCACAUGCAGCAUCUGCUCUAUCCCUCCGUCGUUUGUUGGCUGCCUUCCUUCCCUCCCCGCCGCCCCCACCCCCCGCUCUGCGGGCUCGUAUCGAAUUAUGCUGUUCUUCUCUUUUGCCUCUCCCCGUCUCCCGGGUUCCUGCUACAUCUGCCACCUGUUUACUAGGACUCCCACGGCCCGAUUCUUUUAUCAGUCGUGCACCUCCUUUUGGCCCCCUCGGAGUCUUUUCCUCCUGAGACAACCGUUACCUGCUGGUAGUAACGGUUAGUUACAUAGUUCGCCCAUGCAGCAGGUCCCUCCUGGUGGCCGAGGUGCCGCGUUGCAUCAUGUCCAUCAACACAACGAGUCUGGCCACGAUGAAAGAUUUCUCGUUGAAAGCCCUAUCGAGUACAGUGAGCCCUAAUAAGUGUCCGGGCAUAUGCGAGUUGUUUUAGGUUUCAUUACUCUCUCAUUACUGAUGAUAUAACAUCUUUGCGGUUAGGUUUUCAAACCAUAUCAAAUUGAACAGUGUAAUGAGACAGCCCUGUAAUGUCUCACUCCCAGAGAGGGGUGCAAAAAAAGUACAGAUUUACCCUAUGUUGUCUUUUAUAUGCUUAUGAAAUGUAUAUGAUAUUGAUCUCAAAAUAACAACACUUAAAAAUCAACCCGAUGAAAGGAAAAAGGUUAAAAAAAUAGUUUUAACCUUAAAAAUAGUUUUAUUCUAGAAACAACUUUUAUUCUAGUUGUUUCUAGAAUAAAAGUCAAAUAGUAGUAUAAAAAGAUACUAAAUUUUCAAAAUAAGUACAUUUUUGCUCACAGCCUUUUACCAGAAGCACGCCUCUUGGGAAUUUCAGAGUGACAUCAACCACUGCUGGAAUACGGUCUCCUCCUUACCGCAAGUGAAAGUCAAUUUCCCGCCCUGGUCCAUCUAUUUGAACCGAUUUGCUGUUUUAAUCAAUGCCGGCUGUGUACACAGGCUCUGUGAAGGCAGUUUUUUUUCUUAUGGAAACAUAAUUCACAUGAAAAAAAAGAUCUGUUUAUCAGUCUACCUGCCUUACACGUGACACUUUGGACAGGUGAACCAUUUAUAGCAGUGGAGUACAAGGGCCCAAGGAUUACUUGCAAACCGGAGUGUAAAUUAGGCUGCAGCCUGUUGGGACUUUGACAUUUAAACUUCUGAUGUUGUUUAAACACAAGGAAGCAAAUGGUCUUUGCUAAAAAAGUUUUUUUAAUGUUUAAUUCCUUACAUUUACAUACCUUUUUUUGCCUCUUCUGAAAAAUACACUAAGUCAAACUUUUAGUUGUUUCUCUGAUUACAUAGAUUGACAAAGAUGGAUGGAUGUAUUAUUAAAGUUAGUAAGAUUAUUUGCACAGUGAAAUAACAGUGAUUGUUAUCUGUGGAUGUUUUUUUUAAAUCCAGCAGUAAAUUUUUGCCAGUGAAGUUAAUAGUGAUGAUGACUAUUAUCAUUUGUAAUAUUGUAUUUGAAGAAAUAGUUUUAAAAAGUAAUUGUAAUAAUACUUUUUGUCUUUUCUUCGUAACUUUGUUAAGAGAGGUGCUACAAUGUAUUAUUGCAAUAAUAAUAAUAAUAUAAAGGUAGUAAUGGUGGGGGUAGACUUUAUUUUGAUCUAAUUUAUAAGUAUGACGCUAUACUGCAAAAAAAAGUAAAGAAUGUUUAUUCGAAUGAAUUGCUGUGGGGGAAAAAAUCAUUGGAAUCAUCCUUUAACAUUCACUUUAUUCCCCACGCUGUGCAUCUUCCAAAAUAAGGCCAAAAAAAAAAAGAAAAGAAAAAAGAAGUUGUCUGAACCAGCCAAUCAGGCGCUGCCAUGUUGGGACAGUCCAGCCAAUGGGAAGCGCUCAGCCUGGAGGGAAAAUCUUUAGUGGCCCGGAGUGCGGAAGUGGAGUACAGUGAAGCAAUUUUCAUCGUCGUCGUCGUCACGACAGGAAGAAGAAAUGGAAAAAACGAAAUAAAGUUUCUGUGGAGGAUUCCUCUGAUUGGCAGAGGGUCAAGAAUCUGUCGCAGCCAACAAACAAUUCAAUAGUUAAAAAAUAUUUGAAUUUUUUUUCAUUUUGUAAAAUAAAACUAAAAGCCUUACCGCCGGGGUAGAAGUGAGUUAACACUCUUUCAUUAAAUUAUUCCUUUUUUAAAAAGAAAAAAAACACCAUCGGCUGAUGGCGGUGGUGUUGUCCCCCACCCCGUAUGUCCCUCCUUCCUCCCCCCCCUCCCCGAUGUCAAACACACUUCCGGCCCCGCUCCGGCUUCCCUUCCCCGCUGCUUGUGCACCAGCCGGCGGAGCGGCGGCGGCAGUGACCGGACGGAGGGACGGACGGACGGAGGGAGGGACGACGGACGGGCGGCGCUCGAGUAUGACUCGCACACCGAGCCGCGAAGAGAGCAGCUGACGUUGCGAAGAGAAAAGCGAGCGGCUCCGGCGGCGGAUGUCGCGUGCGGCGUGCCCCCACGGGAAGCGGAGGGAGCACCGGCGGACGCUUCCGUUGACGCGACGGGAUUGUGCGACGUCCGCGUGAGGGAGGCGGGACCCAGGGGGAGAAGCUCCGGCGACUCCAAUAUGCUCCGGCGGCCCCCGGUGCUCGCGUACCGUACGUGGAAGUACAGGGACGACAGUCACGGGCCCACGUAGGAGGACGCACCCCCUUUCCAGAAGAGGCUAUUUAUUUAUAUACAAUUAGGUUUUUUUUGAUUGUUGUUAUUACAAGUAGUUCCGCGUCUGUUUUUGUUUUGGACCGGGGGAGGGGAGGGGAGGGGAGGGGGGGUUCCUUCAGACGGGACUGCAUGUGCUUGGCUCAUUAGCUGCAAAUCGCCACACAGUCCUUGGUGUUUCUUCUUCUUCUUCUUCCUCUUGAAAGAGGAGGAGGAGGAGGAGGAGGAGGAGGAGGAGGGGGGGGGGGGGGGGGGUCUUCUUUCAAAGUAGUUCACCUUCCCGGUGACUCACGAUGAACUAUUAUUUCGGAGGCGUUCUUCGCGCUCCCGUGAGGUUCGGUGUCAGCUGGUAGCCGGCACAGGUCUCACCCUGCGCCUGGGACUUUCUUACAUUUAUUUUUUUUAUUGUAUUAUAUUAUAUUUAUUUUUGGGAUUCUUUUAAGUUGGAGCAUUUUUAAUUUUU
RNA transcript from Scophthalmus maximus (turbot), 6237 nucleotides. It is a transcript of the gene named TBC1 domain family, member 19, with no coding region annotated. Lineage: Eukaryota; Metazoa; Chordata; Actinopteri; Pleuronectiformes; Scophthalmidae. The record is from RefSeq and is a predicted model, not a curated record. The transcript is spliced from 22 exons.